Callithrix jacchus (white-tufted-ear marmoset) is the source of this 97-nucleotide small nuclear RNA. Lineage: Eukaryota; Metazoa; Chordata; Mammalia; Primates; Cebidae. The record is from Ensembl.
GUGCCCACUUCGGCAGCACAUAUACUAAAACUGGAACGAUACAGAGAAGCCCCUGCGCAAGGAUGACACGCAAAUUCUUGAAGCAUUCCAUGUUUUU